GAAUCUGUCCGUUGGUCGGGCUUCACUGUCCGUACUGGCGUGAUGGGUUCUUACCUUCUGAAUAACCAGCAUGCCAUUCACUUGGUGCGUUGGGGAAGCAGGACUAUUACCUUGAAAAAAUUAGAGUGCUCAAAGCAGGCCAGUGCCUGAAUACAUUAGCAUGGAAUAAUAAAAUAGGACGGCAUGGUUCUAUUUUGUUGGUUUCUAGGAUCACCGUA
Molecule: ribosomal RNA, 218 nt
Filed under: uncultured Acaulospora
Lineage: Eukaryota; Fungi; Glomeromycota; Glomeromycetes; Diversisporales; Acaulosporaceae
Description: partial small subunit ribosomal RNA
Rfam family: Eukaryotic small subunit ribosomal RNA (bases 48-218)
Source: RNAcentral